Long non-coding RNA from Triticum dicoccoides, 2190 nucleotides. RefSeq lists it as uncharacterized. Lineage: Eukaryota; Viridiplantae; Streptophyta; Magnoliopsida; Poales; Poaceae. The transcript is spliced from 2 exons. The record is from RefSeq and is a predicted model, not a curated record.
UAACACAAAGCCCAAGUCCAUCUGAGUUAAACGAUUCGAGUUGUUUUUCAUCAAUCCUCUGCACUUCGUCUGCAGAUCGAGCAGCGGCGCUCCAGAUCCGAUCGGGAGAUGAUGCAAGACGACGGCGGUAGAGCUCCGGGAGGUAGGAAGCGGAGAGGAAGCGGCGGACGUCGGGGCGAGGCGUAUCAGGUCAGGAUCCAGCGCGGCGGUGCGUAGUGGAGGCCGCCGACGGCGGCGCUCCAUGGCAAUGGUGGCUCGGCUUCCUGGGAAGAAGAGACAAGGGAGAGCCGCCGGAUCGCUCGUGUGUAUGAUUGUUCCUGUUCCAUGCAUCCUGCCACUUUGAUGGUGUAAAGCUAGCUGUCCUGAUUGUUUGGGUGGUGCACAGUCAGUGUUUGUUGGUAUGCCUAUGCGACAGCGGGUAAGUGAUUGACUUUGCAGCAGCAAUUAGGAACGAUAAGGAAAAGGAAUCUGAUGAAAAUUGCCAAUAGGUUCCUCUCCAUUUGCACCCCUCAUGCACCAGGAUUACAAUUUCAGCAAAACUGGCUGAGUUCCUCAGUUAAGGUGUUUUUUUACUGAAUUGGGAUGCUAAUUGUGAUGCUUUGCCUGCCUUUAAAGUGGAUAUUGUUGAUUGGUAAGUGUUGACGGUGGCUAGCGUUGUUGAUGUUUCAUAGUACUGUUUUUUGGUAGCUCGCAGCCUCAUAUAGUGCUUGAGGAAACCUGAGAAUAUUGUGAGGCUUCGUGGUGCAAGUGUUGAGAUGAACAAGCACUUCCCUCACUACAAGGAAUCAACACCGUCUAGCGGCAGCAACAACGGAUACAGAACAACUGAUGCGACCUGCGGUGGACAUUAUCCAACCUUAAUUCCAGGUACUGUAAUAACUAUCUUACUGCUUAAUUACCUCCGCUCCUAUAUAGCCAUUAGAACUGAUCCACAUACACUGUGUAGGUAAGUAGCUUUUGCUGGGUCCAGUUGAGUAUGUCCUGAUCUUUUGAGCUUUUUUUUCAUGCACAUUAUUAGAUGGUGUUUUGAAAAGGAAUGCAUCAGUUGUUAUUUCAGAGUUGUGAAAUUGUUUUUCUUGCUAUUCUUGCCGCACGGAAGGCAGGCAAUGCGCGGCAGGCUAUUCCUCCUAUUUGUUAGGCAUUGCAUCCUUAUUUAUUCUCAACACAUGACAAGUUGAGUUAUUUCUAUUCAUAUAUACUGUAGUAGGAUACACACACACGUAUUUUGUAAUGUCGUAGCCAACAAAGAGGCAUAAAAGAGCAGAUGACCAUUGUGGUCAGCGAAGGAAUCAUGCAACGAUCAUGAUGAAAAUCUUACGGGCGUGUAAGGAUGGAAGGAGAGGAAGGAGAGGGUGAUAGUGACGAAACGGCCAAAAAUUAUACGCACCAAUAAAUUUGUUAGGUGUUAAACUCCAUGGCCAUGGCGGCUCGGCCUCCUAGGAAGAAGAGACGAGGGAGAGAGAGGAGGUGAGAUGGAGAGAAGAGAAGGGAGAGAAGGGACAGUGCGGCUACCUGCUGCUGGUCUGGCAGCGGCUCCAGUCGCCAGACCUAGGUUUGUGUCCGAAUUCCUCCCCUUUCCGCUGCACGAUGGAAGGUCAUUCACGGCCAGCGUCAGCGCAUGUGGCUACUGGCAAUCUUGCCGCCGUCUGCACUUACUUCGUCGCGGUGCUUCCUCCGCCGUCGCGUGUUGCUGCUCCAGAUCGGCAUAAAUCCUUCCUCCUAGCCAUCUCCAGUGAACUAGAUGAGAUGAAGUAAUCGUCUGAACCUGUGGUAACCUACUCCUUUUGCCCUUCAAAAUGUGAGGUCAAAAUAUUGUUGUUUUUUCAGGUGACUCUGCAGUUCCGGUCAAGCCAAGCAAUCUUUAGCAAGAACUGCAUCCAUUCAUCUGGUCUAACUUCCGCCGAUGAACUUUUGCAUUCACAUGUCUCUCUCUCUCUCUGUGUGUCCAUGAAAGCCCUUGCUGAAUUUGUAUGAUAAGAGUGCUACCUCCUGUUGCAUACGUUCCAUUGGAUACUAAAUAAAUUAUUUUCUGGUUAAUUAUAGUAGAAUUUAAUUAGGAGGGCAAGUAAUUAUGGGUGAUAACUAUUUAGUUUAUUUUUGUACUCUUAGAGUCCUGUAGGAUUUUGUAAUUGGGCUAGAUUUUUUUGUCUGAAUCUGAUUUUUACUCUUAAGAGUCUCUGUCCAUGAACA